AACGACUAUGGUUGGUGUGCGAUGGAAGUGAAACGUGUGUGAGUCAGAGUGAAAAGUGUGAGAGUCAGAGUGUAUGGAGGCUGCUGCAGAUUACUUAGUUAGGGUUUUGUUCCAAUGAAAUUUUAGAAUUUAUACUCUGAUUUUAUUGGCUUGGUGGGCUCAAAAUGAAGGAAUUUCAAGCCCAUGAUUUUUCUGUUAUAUUUUUU
This 206-nucleotide long non-coding RNA is filed under the name Lathyrus oleraceus (garden pea). Its description in RNAcentral is "Pisum sativum (pea) long non-coding RNA (PSAT_LNC005886)". Lineage: Eukaryota; Viridiplantae; Streptophyta; Magnoliopsida; Fabales; Fabaceae. The record is from RNAcentral.